This 200-nucleotide ribosomal RNA is filed under the name uncultured bacterium. Its description in RNAcentral is "partial 16S ribosomal RNA". It matches the Rfam family "Bacterial small subunit ribosomal RNA", at positions 30 to 232 of the family's 1533-position model. The record is from RNAcentral.
AUUGGACGCUGGCGGCAGGCCUAACACAUGCAAGUCGAGCGCGAAAGUUCUUCGGAAUGAGUAAAGCGGCGGACGGGUGAGUAAUACAUGGGAAUCUGCCUGGUAGUGGGGGACAACGUUUCGAAAGGAACGCUAAUACCGCAUACGCCCUACGGGGGAAAGGGGGGGAUCUUCGACGCCUCUCGCUAUCAGAUGAGCCC